CCUACGGGGGGCUGCAGUGGGGAAUAUUGGACAAUGGGGGCAACCCUGAUCCAGCCAUGCCGCGUGUGUGAAGAAGGCCCUCGGGUUGUAAAGCACUUUCAGUGAGGAAGAACGCCUGGUGGUUAAUACCCAUCAGGAAAGACAUCACUCACAGAAGAAGCACCGGCUAACUCCGUGCCAGCAGCCGCGGUAAUACGGAGGGUGCGAGCGUUAAUCGGAAUUACUGGGCGUAAAGCGCGCGUAGGUGGCUUGAUAAGCCGGUUGUGAAAGCCCCGGGCUCAACCUGGGAAUGGCAUCCGGAACUGUCAAGCUAGAGUGCAGGAGAGGAAGGUAGAAUUCCCGGUGUAGCGGUGAAAUGCGUAGAGAUCGGGAGGAAUACCAGUGGCGAAGGCGGCCUUCUGGACUGACACUGACACUGAGGUGCGAAAGCGUGGGUAGCAAACAGGAUUAGAUACCCGUGUAGUC
RNAcentral lists this ribosomal RNA (465 nucleotides) under Vreelandella stevensii. Its description in RNAcentral is "partial 16S ribosomal RNA". It matches the Rfam family "Bacterial small subunit ribosomal RNA", at positions 338 to 795 of the family's 1533-position model. The record is from RNAcentral. Lineage: Bacteria; Pseudomonadati; Pseudomonadota; Gammaproteobacteria; Oceanospirillales; Halomonadaceae.